CCCUCUUCUUCCUCGCAAGAAACAAAGCCUUACCAAGAAACCGAGAGAGAGGCCGAGAGAGAGGGAGGAGGUGGUGGUGGUGGAAAGCUGCGCAGGAUGGAGCCGGCCGUCGUGACACGGCUCUUCGUCGGCGGCGUGGCGGUGGUGGUCUUUAUCGUCGGAGGCCUACGCUGCUGUGCGGCUCCGUGCUACAUGGCGUGGCGGGAGCGGAGAGCGGCGGAGCGGCGGAGGCAGGAGGUGGAGAGUACUGGACGCGUCUUACUUGCUGGGGACGGGGAGGCGGAGCUAGAGCAAUGCAUGAUCUGCUGCGAGGAAAACAUCGCACCUGAGGAGGAGCUCCGGUUCCUGCCCUGCAGCCAUGGCUUUCACAAGCAAUGCAUCGACAAGUGGCGGCUUCAAUUUUCUUUGGCUUGUCCCUUGUGCCGAUCACAGUGACGGGGCGGGCGCAGCCAUAGCGAGCUAGCUGCUCUCUUCGGGUGGCGGCAGCGGCGACUUUGCGAUCGAACUCACCUUAGGUUAGGACUUGCUAGGCGGAACAGAAACCGAGAGACAUUCCUUUGUUCCCUUUUGUGUUCGUGAUUCUUAGGUUUUGGUUCGUGUUCGGGAACCGAUUCGUCGUUGUUGUCAUCUAUAGCAUCAGUACUCGUGUGACUACGAUUUUAGUUCUUGCUCCUCUGUAAACGGUGUGAUCAUGAUUUCGGUUCUUGGUUGGAUGCUUUUGUUUUGGAAGGAAAUUCUGAAAUUGGUUGAAUUCUUGUUUUCUUAUUGCGGUCGUCUUCCCUAGUUCUUUGUGAUGUUAAUUUCGGUUUGGAACCCGCCUCGUUCGUCGUGGAGCCAUACCCGUGUAGUGGCGACAUCGCGUGCGUGGUGGAAAUUUAAUUUAGUGGGCUGGGCUUGGGCGGCAGCCAUGCCCGUGCAGGCCAUCACCCAUUUCUCCCCCAGAGCCCGUCAGUCUGAUGCCGCAGCACCACGCACGGCACCACCGCGGUCGACGGCGGCGGCGGCGGUCGGAGCGGCGGAAUAGCGGAUCCGGCGGGCGAGUGGAUCUGGAUCUGCGAGGCGAAAUACUUGGCAGCGCGGCGGUUCCGUCUCCGAGAAGCUAGGAGGGGAGCAAAGGAAGUUUUGGGGCCAACGGUGGGGAGCUGUUGAGGUGUUUGGCCAGUAACUGGUCGAGACAUUGAAGCCAAGAGUUAUGGAGACAUUGAAGAUGAAAAUUGAUAUAGAAUGUCUACUCCAAAUGUAUUGAUAGAUUGUCAGUUUGUGUGAUGCAAACAGUCAUUAGUGCAGGGAAAAAAUGGAUUACAACAAGCUAUUGGUUUCUUGCUUUAGCCUACUGGUUUCUCCUUUGCUAUGUUGUUGUGCAUUACAAAUUUACACCAUGUGAUAACUAAAGUAGCAUAGCUUAUUCCAUUUUAUGUUAGUGGCAUGCACAUAGUACUUGCCUUUUUAUCACCUUCCUCUAAAUCCUUCCAAACGCUGCAGUUUUUCUGUAAGAACUCAAAUAGCAUAUGCUGAUAUGCUGCAUCUUGUAAGUACUGAAGGUUAGUUGGUAUAACUUGCAAGACAAAUGCUACUAUACUCUUAUCAUGCAGUAUAUUUCAUUUGCCAGUUGAAGUAGGAGUUCUGAUCAAUUGAUUAUUUUGAUAUCGCAGGAUCUGUCUUGUAUAUAUUAUCCCUGUAUAUUUGUAAC
This is a long non-coding RNA of Oryza brachyantha (malo sina), 1690 nucleotides long. RefSeq lists it as uncharacterized. The record is from RefSeq and is a predicted model, not a curated record. The transcript has 3 exons. NCBI's taxonomy places the organism in Eukaryota, Viridiplantae, Streptophyta, Magnoliopsida, Poales, Poaceae.